GACGAACGCUGGCGGCGUGCCUAAUACAUGCAAGUAGAACGCACAGUUUAUACCGUAGCUUGCUACACCAUAGACUGUGAGUUGCGAACGGGUGAGUAACGCGUAGGUAACCUGCCUGGUAGCGGGGGAUAACUAUUGGAAACGAUAGCUAAUACCGCAUAAUAUUAAUUAUUGCAUGAUAAUUAAUUGAAAGGUGCAAUUGCACCACUACCAGAUGGACCUGCGUUGUAUUAGCUAGUAGGUGAGGUAACGGCUCACCUAGGCGACGAUGCAUAGCCGACCUGAGAGGGUGAUCGGCCACACUGGGACUGAGACACGGCCCAGACUCCUACGGGAGGCAGCAGUAGGGAAUCUUCGGCAAUGGACGAAAGUCUGACCGAGCAACGCCGCGUGAGUGAAGAAGGUUUUCGGAUCGUAAAGCUCUGUUGUAAGAGAAGAACGGGUGUGAGAGUGGAAAGUUCACACUGUGACGGUAUCUUACCAGAAAGGGACGGCUAACUACGUG
This 505-nucleotide ribosomal RNA is filed under the name uncultured bacterium. RNAcentral's name for it is "partial 16S ribosomal RNA". It matches the Rfam family "Bacterial small subunit ribosomal RNA", at positions 28 to 507 of the family's 1533-position model. The record is from RNAcentral.